AACGAACGCUGGCGGCAUGCCUAACACAUGCAAGUCGAACGAGACCUCCGGGACCAGUGGCGCAUGGGUGCGUAACGCGUGGGAACCUGCACUUAGGUUCGGAAUAACUCCCCGAAAGGGGUGCUAAUACCGGAUAAUGUCUUCGGCCCAAAGAUUUAUCGCAUUUGGAUGGGCACGCGUUGGAUUAGCUAGUUGGUAGGGUAAAAGCCUACCAAGGCGACGAUCCAUAGCUGGUCUGAGAGGAUGAUCAGCCACACUGGGACUGAGACACGGCCCAGACUCCUACGGGAGGCAGCAGUGGGGAAUAUUGGACAAUGGGCGAAAGCCUGAUCCAGCAAUGCCGCGUGAGUGAUGAAGGCCUUAGGGUUGUAAAGCUCUUUUACCCGGGAUGAUAAUGACAGUACCGGGAGAAUAAGCUCCGGCUAACUCCGUG
RNAcentral lists this ribosomal RNA (433 nucleotides) under uncultured bacterium. RNAcentral's name for it is "partial 16S ribosomal RNA". It matches the Rfam family "Bacterial small subunit ribosomal RNA", at positions 29 to 507 of the family's 1533-position model. The record is from RNAcentral.